AAACUGCAAGGCGGCAGCGAGGCUGGGGGAGGGGCGCCUGCCAUUGCUGAGGCUUGAGCAGGUAAACAAAGCAUCUGGGAAGCACGAACUGGGUGGAGCCCACCACAGCUCAAUGAGGCCUGCCUGCCUCUGUAGACUCCUCUGAGAACGGACAGACUGCCUCCUCAAGUGGGUCCCUGACCCCCGAGUAGCCUAACUGGGAGGCACCCCCAAGUAGGGGCAGACUGACACCUCACACAGCCAGGUACCCCUCUAAGACGAAACUUCCAGAGGAACGAUCAAACAGCAACAUUUGCUGUUCAGCAAUAUUUGCUGUUCUGCAGCCUCGAAAUGAAGGAAAAAAUGUUAAGGGCAGCCAGAGAGAAAGGUCAGGUUACUCACAAAGGGAAGCCCAUCAGACUAACAGCUGGUCUCUCGGCAGAAACUCUACAAGCCAGAAGAGAGUGGGGGCCAAUAUUCAAAUAUCCAGGAAUUGAACUCAGCUCUGCACCAAGCAGACCUAAUAGACAUCUACAGAACUCUCCACCCCAAGACAAACCUGACAAAAACAAGAAAUGGGGAAAGGAUUCCCUAUAUAAUAAAUGGUGCUGGGAAAACUGGCUAGGCAUAUGUAGAAAGCUGAAACUGGAUCCCUUCCUUACAAAAUUGACAAAUGGGAUCUAAUUGAACUAAAGAGCUCCUUCUGCACAGCAAAAAAACUACCAUCAGAGUGAACAGGCAACCUACAGAAUGGGAGAAAAUUUUUGCAAUCUACUCACCUGACUAAAGGGCUGAUACCCAGAAUCUACAAAGAACUCAAACAAAUUUACAUCGGAAGGACAAAAAACCAAACACUGCAUGUUCUCACUCAUAGGUGGUAAUUGAACAAUGAGAACACAUGCACACAGGAAGGGGAGCAUCGCAGACCAGGGCCUGUUGUGGGGUGGGGGGAGGGAUAGCAUUAGGAGAUAUACCUA
RNAcentral lists this long non-coding RNA (956 nucleotides) under Homo sapiens (human). Its description in RNAcentral is "non-protein coding lnc-FAM153B-4:1". Lineage: Eukaryota; Metazoa; Chordata; Mammalia; Primates; Hominidae. The record is from RNAcentral.